UUUUUGUUGUUGUUUGGUUUUUACUCAGACUUUUUCAGAACAAUUUUAAAUUUACAGAAAAAUUGAGCAGAUAGUACAGUGAGUUCUCAUAUACCCACACAAUUUCUAUUAAACUCCUGCAUUCAUGCAGCAUAUUUGUUACAGUUAAUGAACCUCUAUUGAUAUAUUACUAAUUAAACUCCAUCAUCAAGGUUACUCUUUUUGUCCUACACUUUGGUGGAUUUUGGAAAAUGCAUAAUACAUAUCCACCAUAACGGUCCCACACAAAAUAGUUUCGCUGCCCUAGAAAUGCCCUGUGCUCCACCUGUUCAUCACCUUCCAUCUUCAGGGACCCUCUUGAAACACAGAUAUUUUUUCUGUCUCCAUAGUUUUGCCUUUUCUAGAAUGUCAUAUAGUGGGAAUCAGACAAUAGAUAGCAUUUUUAGACUGGCUUCUUUCACUUAGCAUUUUAUACGCAUUUAAGUUCCUUUUUAAUUUUUUGCUUAAUAGCUCAUUUGUGUUUAUCACUGAACAAUAAUCUAAGUACCACAGUCUGCUUAUCCAUUCACCUUAAAGGAUAUCUUGUUUGCUUCCAUAAAACUGCUAUAAACAUCCACGCUCAGCUUUUUGUGUGGACAUGCUUUCAACUCAUUUGAGUAAAUACCUAGGAGUGUGAUUGCUGGAAGUUAUCAUACAACUAGGUUUAGCCUCAAAGACAUUGCCAAACUCUCUUCCAAAGUGCAUUCCCGUCAGCAAUGAAUGAGAGCUCCUGUCACUCCACAGCCUUGCCAACUGAGUUCCUUUUGGAUUUUUGCCAUUUUAAUAGGUGUGUAGUGGCAUCUUGUUAAUCUGUGGUUUCCUGGGGCACCUAGGUGGCUCAGUGGGUUGAGCAUUCAGCUCAGGUCAUGAUCUCAUAGCUCCUCAGAUCAAGCCCUUCAUAGAGCUUGGAGGUGCUCAGCCUGGAGUCAGCUUGAGGAUUUUCUCCUCUGCUCCUCCUCUACUCAGUCGGUCUCUCACCCUCUUUCUAAAAUAUAUAUAUUUAUUUUAAUCUGUGGUGUACAAAUUACAUGAUGGUGAUCAUAUCCUAUGCUUACUUGCCAUCUGUGUAUCUUUGGUAACCUGUCUCUCCAGUUUUCAAUUGGCUUUUCGGUUGUUUUAGGAGUUCACUGUAGAUUUUGGAUAAAAGUCCUUUUGUGUUACAUCUCUCAUUUGCCUACAAAACUUGGAGGAUUCAAAUGAGAACUGAGUCCCUGGGGGAUGAAGGAGCCACAGGUGGGUGAGGUCUGCACCCUUGAGACCAAGUAGAGCAGAGCCCCCAACCCUCACCGGCUGUGAUAAACUAACAUUUACUGGGAUAAGAAACUACUGUUAUACUGUUUCUGAACUUACAUCAAAAACAUUUCAAGAGACUUUGAAUACUGGUAUUAAGGGCUAGCUUACAAUCUUACAAAAUUCAUAUGUUGAAGCCCUCACCCCCAGUACCUCAGAAUGUAACCAUGUUUGCAGAUAAGGUAUUUAAAGGCAUGACUGAGUUACAAAGGCCUUUAGGGUAGGCCCUAAUGCAAUCAGACUGGUGUCCUGGUAAGUUUAGAUCACAGACAGCACAGGGGAAUGACCACAUGAAGACACAGUGAGAAUGUGGCCAUUGACAAGCCAGAGAGAGGCCUCAGCCCCUCAACCCUGAGUCCAACCUCUACAGCACUGUGGGAAAACACACUUCUACGGUUAAGUCACCCAGUCUGUAUUUCAGUCUGUAUUGCCUUAGUGUAGGACAGCCCUCCUACACUAAGGCACCUGGGGAGGUGGCACUAGAGGCUCUUGAAUUCAGAGCUGCCCAAGCCCUAAGGCCCUGAGGGUCUGAAGCUCCUCUUCUGGGUACAACCUCACCCAGAGACUAAUAGCUGGGGGCUAACCCUCUCUGCCUUUAUUCUUCCCGGAAGGAGCUUCUCCAGAUGGUACCAAGGCAGGUACCUAGCUCUUUAAUGCAGAUACCACUGCUGUUGCCGCCUUUGUGUGUGUGUGUGAAGGGUAAAUGGACGCACACAGGGCAAGCCUGGGAGGGAGUGUGGGGACUGCAGGCUGAACCCAUUUCUUCCAGAGCACCUGAAUCAGGAUCCAUGAUUCCAUCCAGUAAGUGGGAGUUCAGUGAUGCUGUAGGCAGGUCUGUGGGCCCGAUGUCCUGCUCCUUUCCGCCCAUCCCUUAGGCUGUCUUAUGCAUUCCCAGAUCAUGAGUACUGGUUCCAUAAUGAGGUUCAUUUUUAUUUGAAUAAUCCACAAAUGACUCAGCCCAAAAAAUGCAAUUUGCCUGAUCAGGGAUGCCCUGAAUAUCAGAUGCCCAGAUAGGGGACAUCAUUUCAGGGAGAGGGAGAGGAGAAAAGGAGAGAGGCAGAGAGAGGGAGAGAGGAAGAGGAGAGAGGGAGAGGACCUGUCAGACAGCAUUACCAAUAUUACAGGCUCUUAGCACAUGUGUUAGGUGAGAAGUUGGUUUUGAGGAUACAAGGGAUGAUAGUGCGUGGCCCCUUCUACUCCAUGAGCUGACCUGGCAUCCCAUUCAUGAGGACUCUCUGCCCUCAUGACCUAGCCACUUUCCAAAGACCCCACCUCCUAAUACCAUCACCUUAGGGUUUCAACUAAGAAUUUGGGAGAGGCACAUUCAGUCUGUAGCACUGUCCCUGUGGAAUAGGGGAAGCUCUGGCCCCAGGGCCUCACCCUGGUCAGAGGGUUAGCUUCCUAAUUACCUAUGGCCCCAAGUGGGUCUUCUACAGCAGUAAAGCAAACCCUACCCCUUCUAGGACUCUUUCCAGAACCUUUCAAAUCCUAGAGCUGGGGUCUAUGUUCCUGAAUUCAGCAACUGUAGUCUCUCACUUAAGAACUGUGUGACUUACCAGAGGCAGAGGUCCUCUAGUGAGAUCUGGUGGCCAGGCUAAGCUGUCCCUCCCACCCUCAGAACCAGGAACACAGGAGAGUCUAAGAGAUACCUAAUGUUUAUACGCAGUCUUUUCUUCUUUUUAAAAUUAGAUUAUUUUUUUUUCCCUUGUCAUUUUCUGGAAGUUUAGAAUGGCAACUUUUUGUGUAUGUAGCCAUUUACAAAAUAUUCAUGCUUGCUUUUUUUUUUUAAGAUUUUAUUUACUCUGCUUCUCCCUCUGCCUGUGUCUCUGCCUCAUUCUCUCUCUCUCUGUGACUAUCACAAAUAAAUAAAAAUUAAAAAAAUUAAAAAAAAAAAAAAAAAAA
RNAcentral lists this long non-coding RNA (3210 nucleotides) under Canis lupus familiaris (dog). RNAcentral describes it as "lncRNA (ENSCAFG00845000149.1)". The record is from RNAcentral. Lineage: Eukaryota; Metazoa; Chordata; Mammalia; Carnivora; Canidae.